UGGGGAAUUUUCCGCAAUGGGCGAAAGCCUGACGGAGCAAUGCCGCGUGGAGGUGGAAGGGCCUACGGGUCGUCAACUUCUUUUCUCGGAGAAGAAACAAUGACGGUAUCUGAGGAAUAAGCAUCGGCUAACUCUGUGCCAG
RNAcentral lists this ribosomal RNA (142 nucleotides) under uncultured bacterium. Its description in RNAcentral is "partial 16S rRNA". It matches the Rfam family "Bacterial small subunit ribosomal RNA", at positions 355 to 511 of the family's 1533-position model. The record is from RNAcentral.